AUUGAACGCUGGCGGCAUGCCUUACACAUGCAAGUCGAACGGCAGCACGGGAGCGAUCCUGGUGGCGAGUGGCGAACGGGUGAGUAAAGUAUCGGAACGUGCCCAGCCGUGGGGGAUAACGUAGCGAAAGUUACGCUAAUACCGCAUACGAUCUAUGGAUGAAAGCGGGGGAUCGCAAGACCUCGCGCGAUUGGAUCGGCCGAUAUCAGAUUAGGUAGUUGGUGGGGUAAAGGCUCACCAAGCCGACGAUCUGUAGCUGGUCUGAGAGGACGACCAGCCACACUGGGACUGAGACACGGCCCAGACUCCUACGGGAGGCAGCAGUGGGGAAUUUUGGACAAUGGGCGAAAGCCUGAUCCAGCCAUGCCGCGUGCAGGAUGAAGGCCUUCGGGUUGUAAACUGCUUUUGUACGGAACGAAAAGGUUUGGCCUAAUAAGCUGAGCUCAUGACGGUACCGUAAGAAUAAGCACCGGCUAACUACGUGCCAGCCGCCGCGGUAA
RNAcentral lists this ribosomal RNA (500 nucleotides) under uncultured bacterium. RNAcentral describes it as "partial 16S ribosomal RNA". It matches the Rfam family "Bacterial small subunit ribosomal RNA", at positions 30 to 523 of the family's 1533-position model. The record is from RNAcentral.